Molecule: long non-coding RNA, 668 nt
Organism: Sardina pilchardus (European sardine)
Lineage: Eukaryota; Metazoa; Chordata; Actinopteri; Clupeiformes; Clupeidae
Exons: 4
Source: RefSeq, a predicted model, not a curated record
CUUGUGUGAGUUGUUUUCAGUCACUGUGAAGAGGCAGCAAGAUUAUCAUUAACUCCACUUCUGUUUUCUUUUGAAGUAGAAGACGUGAAAGUUUCUGAAAUCUCAUAGACCAUGGGAGCCAGAGUGACAGUGAUAAACAGUACACCCUACAGUUGGUACUACAAAGAUCCGAAAUCUGGGUCAGACCGCUGGAUAGCUGAAAAAUCCAGAAUAACAUAUGAUGACUACAAGUCAAUCCACUGCUACAUCUACCUAAAACGUGAAGGUAAAACUGUCUACGAUUUCACUUAUGAAUUUAAUUCAAAUAAAGGAGAUCCAACAUUUACCAUACAAGAAAGUACAGACGGCUCAAUGAUUCAACUACACUGUAGCACAGAGGAUGAGGUCAAGAGAUGUGAAAACGUUGGCAAAAAAAAAUAAAGGAAGUUUGGAACUCUCAGAGAAUCUGGCCAUCGAAGAACCACAAUGUACCAAGUGGCAUCCCUGAGGUCAUGUACAAAGUUCCACAGCUGUGGGGCUCUGAGGAUUUUCUUGUUCCACACAGCAUUGACCGCUGCAAACAUGCACUCUUCUUGUACUUAGUGAUGAAUGAAGUGCCCCUUUGCUAUGCUGGCAAUAAAUACUCAAGUUAUUUUAAAGUAAAAUAAACUACAAUGUCUAACUUUAAA